GACGAACGCUGGCGGCGUGCCUAACACAUGCAAGUCGAACGGGAAUACAUUAGUAGCAAUACGGAUGUAUUUUAGUGGCGGACGGGUGAGUAACGCGUGAGCAACCUGCCCUUCGGAGGGGGACAACAGCUGGAAACGGCUGCUAAUACCGCAUAACGUAUAUCUGAGACAUCUCGGAUAUACCAAAGAUUUAUCGCCGAAGGAUGGGCUCGCGUCUGAUUAGCUGGUUGGUGAGGUAACGGCUCACCAAGGCAACGAUCAGUAGCCGGACUGAGAGGUUGAACGGCCACAUUGGGACUGAGAGACGGCCCAGACUCCUACGGGAGGCAGCAGUGGGGAAUAUUGGGCAAUGGGGGCAACCCUGACCCAGCAACGCCGCGUGAAGGAAGAAGGCCUUCGGGUUGUAAACUUCUUUGACGAGGGACGAAAGAAAUGACGGUACCUCGAAAACAAGCCACGGCUAACUACGUG
Molecule: ribosomal RNA, 471 nt
Filed under: uncultured organism
Description: bacterial SSU rRNA
Rfam family: Bacterial small subunit ribosomal RNA
Source: RNAcentral